This 496-nucleotide ribosomal RNA is filed under the name uncultured bacterium. RNAcentral's name for it is "partial 16S ribosomal RNA". It matches the Rfam family "Bacterial small subunit ribosomal RNA", at positions 28 to 506 of the family's 1533-position model. The record is from RNAcentral.
GAUGAACGCUGGCGGCGUGCCUAAUACAUGCAAGUCGAGCGAACAGACGAGGAGCUUGCUCCUCUGACGUUAGCGGCGGACGGGUGAGUAACACGUGGAUAACCUACCUAUAAGACUGGGAUAACUUCGGGAAACCGGAGCUAAUACCGGAUAAUAUAUUGAACCGGAUGGUUCAAUAGUGAAAGACGGUUUUGCUGUCACUUAUAGAUGGAUCAGCGCAGCAUUAGCUAGUUGGUAAGGUAACGGCUUACCAAGGCAACGAUGCGUAGCCGACCUGAGAGGGUGAUCGGCCACACUUGAACUGGGACACGGUCCAGACUCCUACGUGAGGCAGCAGUAGGGAAUCUUCCGCAAUGAGCGGAAGCCUGACGGAGCAACGCCGCGUGAGUGAUGAAGGUCUUCGGAUCGUAAAACUCUGUUAUUAGGGAAGAACAAAUGUGUAAGUAACGAUGCACGUCUUGACGGUACCGAAGCAGAAAGCCACGGCUAACUACGU